CUUGGAUUUUCUUUGAGAGCAUUAUAUGGGUGAGUGCUUUUAUAUUGAGAGAGAUGGUUGGUAUUGAAAGUUGAGUGUGUAUCUCCUCUUGUAUCUGUUUCUUUCUUAUAAUUGAAGCUUGCAUGCCUCAUGGAGAUAAGCCUUAAGCUAAUCCAUAUAUUUGAUUGUAUAUCUCUUUUAUUUCUUCUUUUUUCUGCUACAACAAGUGGUAUCAGAUCUCCAACAAUUGAUAUC
This 234-nucleotide long non-coding RNA is filed under the name Elaeis guineensis (African oil palm). RNAcentral describes it as "long non-coding RNA (EGUI_LNC060583)". Lineage: Eukaryota; Viridiplantae; Streptophyta; Magnoliopsida; Arecales; Arecaceae. The record is from RNAcentral.